UAGGCAUGCUGCUGUCUGGUGAUGCUGGGAGUUGUAGUUGGGGCGUACAUACAGGGGUCGCAGUUGCACGGGCUUACGUGACGUCACAAUGUUAUCAGCGCUGCAGGUCCGGCAGGAAGUUGGGAACAGAGGAGCGUGGGAGCCACUGCCCAGUAGUCUGACUCUAUACUAAAGUCACUCACCUCGCCUCGUUCUCUCUCUCUCUGCCAGCCUGAGCCAGGCCCAGGAGCAGCCCUCAUUCAGCCAGCCAGAGCCCACACUGAGCCCAGCCUCCAGCAUUCAGCCUUGCCAGUUGCCACAGACUUUCAGCAGGUCGAUUCAGCAGCUUUCAGCCUGAGCCAGCCCAGAAGUGAUCUUUCAUCCUCAUGGAGGUCUCACCGACAUACACAAGUCCACAAGGGCACUUCAAGAGAUAGACUACGAAAUUACUAUUGCAGGAACCCACCCACCCAUACAGGGUGGGGGAUGAGGUGGUGGUCGAAAACACUGAAGAAGGGAAGAGCUCAAGGUGAUUUCGUAUAUGGCCCACCUACUACCGUGGUUGCAGUAACCAGAACAGCUGUGCUAACUGAAUAAUCUCCAAUUUGGAUCCACGCCACCCGAGUGAAGCUUGUGAGAGAAAGAGAGGAGGCAGAAAACUGAGGCAGACAGCCUUGGCCUUGAAGAAGGACAGGAGGUACUAACGGGGGCAGACAGCCCUGACCUCCAACGAGGCCCAGAGGUACUAACGGAGGCAGACAGCCUUGACCUCAAAGAAGAUAAAUUCCUCGAGAUGGCUGAAAUGUUGUGCCUUGAUAAUUGCAGUCCCCAACCCAGUAGAUGUAUGGACGGGGCUCCUACGUUCCCAAGCGAAUGACACAGAUUUACAGGAUCAUGAUGUUAAAUAUGGAUAUGUAAAUCCUUAUCAUGCUCGUUAUAACUGUCCUACAUAUGAGACUCUGCAAAGUAAUAUGAUAGAAAUAAUCACAGGUCUUGUUACAGCGGCAGAAAUAUGUUAUAAUUUCACCUGUGAUGAGACAUUAUUGCCUCCCUACAUACAAGCAAAAAUGCAGAACAAAGAGUAAGCCAAAUAUUUGUGAUAGAGAUCUAGGUAACUGUAAAAAGAUAGUAUCAGAAAAAAAUAUGAAA
Long non-coding RNA from Bufo gargarizans (Asiatic toad), 1128 nucleotides. RefSeq lists it as uncharacterized. The transcript has 3 exons. Lineage: Eukaryota; Metazoa; Chordata; Amphibia; Anura; Bufonidae. The record is from RefSeq and is a predicted model, not a curated record.